GCCCGGCUAGCUCAAUCGGUAGAGCGUGAGACUCUUAGAAUCUGUAUCAAACACAGAUGACGUAAUCUCAAGGUUGCGGGUUCGACCCCCGCGUUGGGCU
Glarea lozoyensis ATCC 20868 is the source of this 100-nucleotide transfer RNA. It matches the Rfam family "tRNA". Rfam says of the family: Transfer RNA (tRNA) molecules are approximately 80 nucleotides in length. NCBI's taxonomy places the organism in Eukaryota, Fungi, Ascomycota, Leotiomycetes, Helotiales, Helotiaceae. The record is from Rfam.